AUGAACGCUGGCGGCGUGCCUAAUACAUGCAAGUCGAGCGAACAGACGAGGAUCUUGCUCCUCUGACGUUAGCGGCGGACGGGUGAGUAACACGUGGAUAACCUACCUAUAAGACUGGGAUAACUUCGGGAAACCGGAGCUAAUACCGGAUAAUAUAUUGAACCGCAUGGUUCAAUAGUGAAAGACGGUUUUGCUGUCACUUAUAGAUGGAUCCGCGCCGCAUUAGCUAGUUGGUAAGGUAACGGCUUACCAAGGCAACGAUGCGUAGCCGACCUGAGAGGGUGAUCGGCCACACUGGAACUGAGACACGGUCCAGACUCCUACGGGAGGCAGCAGUAGGGAAUCUUCCGCAAUGGGCGAAAGCCUGACGGAGCAACGCCGCGUGAGUGAUGAAGGUCUUCGGAUCGUAAAACUCUGUUAUUAGGGAAGAACAAAUGUGUAAGUAACUAUGCACGUCUUGACGGUACCUAAUCAGAAAGCCACGGCUAACUACGUG
RNAcentral lists this ribosomal RNA (496 nucleotides) under uncultured bacterium. Its description in RNAcentral is "partial 16S ribosomal RNA". It matches the Rfam family "Bacterial small subunit ribosomal RNA", at positions 29 to 507 of the family's 1533-position model. The record is from RNAcentral.